RNAcentral lists this non-coding RNA (27 nucleotides) under Mus musculus (house mouse). Lineage: Eukaryota; Metazoa; Chordata; Mammalia; Rodentia; Muridae. The record is from RNAcentral.
UCGUACUAAGUCACCAUACUAAGUCGC